GACGAACGCUGGCGGCGUGCUUAACACAUGCAAGUCGAACGGAGCACCCCUGAAGGAGUUUUCGGACAACGGAUGGGAAUGCUUAGUGGCGGACUGGUGAGUAACGCGUGAGGAACCUACCUUCCAGAGGGGGACAACAGUUGGAAACGACUGCUAAUACCGCAUAACGUGCAGCCGGGGCAUCCCGGAGGCACCAAAGAUUUUAUCGCUGGAAGAUGGCCUCGCGUCUGAUUAGCUAGUUGGUGGGGUAACGGCCCACCAAGGCGACGAUCAGUAGCCGGACUGAGAGGUUGGCCGGCCACAUUGGGACUGAGAUACGGCCCAG
RNAcentral lists this ribosomal RNA (325 nucleotides) under uncultured bacterium. RNAcentral's name for it is "bacterial SSU rRNA". It matches the Rfam family "Bacterial small subunit ribosomal RNA", at positions 28 to 334 of the family's 1533-position model. The record is from RNAcentral.